This 467-nucleotide ribosomal RNA is filed under the name uncultured bacterium. Its description in RNAcentral is "partial 16S ribosomal RNA". It matches the Rfam family "Bacterial small subunit ribosomal RNA", at positions 28 to 506 of the family's 1533-position model. The record is from RNAcentral.
GACGAACGCUGGCGGCGUGCUUAACACAUGCAAGUCGAACGGAAAGGCCCUGCUUUUGUGGGGUGCUCGAGUGGCGAACGGGUGAGUAACACGUGAGUAACCUGCCCUUGACUUUGGGAUAACUUCAGGAAACUGGGGCUAAUACCGGAUAGGAGCUCCUGCUGCAUGGUGGGGGUUGGAAAGUUUCGGCGGUUGGGGAUGGACUCGCGGCUUAUCAGCUUGUUGGUUGGGUAGUGGCUUACCAAGGCUUUGACGGGUAGCCGGCCUGAGAGGGUGACCGGCCACAUUGGGACUGAGAUACGGCCCAGACUCCCACGGGAGGCAGGAGUGGGGAAUGUUGCACAAUGGGCGGAAGCAUGCGGCAGCAACGCCGCGUGCGGGAUGACGGCCUUCGGGUGGGAAACCGAUUUCGCCUGUGCCGAAGCGUGAGUGACGGUAAUGGGGAAAGAAGCACCGGCUAACUACGU